CCAUCACCUGAUGGGGGACAUGUAACAGGCCGCAGCACCGCUGGCCCACCAUCCUAUAGCUCUAACAAAGGGGACACCAUUGGUCCAUCACCCUAUGGAGGCAAUACAGCCAGACCAUCACCAUAUGGCCUCAACACUUCUCAUCCAUCUCCUUACGGAGGUCAUAGACCCAGCCCAUCACCGUAUGGCCUCAACAGCUCUGGUCUAUCUCUCUACGGUGGCCAUACAACCAGCCCAUCAACAUAUAGCCUCAACACCUCUGGUCCAUCUCCCUACGGAGAGCAUACACCCAGCCCACCACUGUAUGGUCAUGACACCCCGGGUCCGUCAUUCUAUGGAGGCCAUAAACCCAGCCCAUCACUGUAUGACCUCAACACC
Molecule: long non-coding RNA, 378 nt
Organism: Melanotaenia boesemani (Boeseman's rainbowfish)
Lineage: Eukaryota; Metazoa; Chordata; Actinopteri; Atheriniformes; Melanotaeniidae
Exons: 3
Source: RefSeq, a predicted model, not a curated record